This 732-nucleotide ribosomal RNA is filed under the name uncultured Leptotrichia sp. RNAcentral's name for it is "bacterial SSU rRNA". It matches the Rfam family "Bacterial small subunit ribosomal RNA", at positions 28 to 776 of the family's 1533-position model. The record is from RNAcentral. Lineage: Bacteria; Fusobacteriati; Fusobacteriota; Fusobacteriia; Fusobacteriales; Leptotrichiaceae.
GAUGAACGCUGACAGAAUGCUUAACACAUGCAAGUCUUUGGCGAAGCUGUGCUUGCACAGCCUAGCCAAGGCGGACGGGUGAGUAACGCGUAAGGGACUUGCCCUGCAGUCAGGGAUAACAGACGGAAACGACUGAUAAGACCUGGUAAAGUCAGGCGGACUCAUGUCCAGCCUGAUGAAAAGGAAUGCUGCAGGAGAGCCUUGCGCCCUAUUAGCUUGUUGGUGGGGUAACGGCCCACCAAGGCGAUGAUAGGUAGCCGGCCUGAGAGGGUGGACGGCCACAAGGGGACUGAGAUACGGCCCUUACUCCUACGGGAGGCAGCAGUGGGGAAUAUUGGACAAUGGGGGCAACCCUGAUCCAGCAAUUCUGUGUGCACGAUGAAGGUCUUCGGAUUGUAAAGUGCUUUCAGCAGGGAAGAAAAAAAUGACGGUACCUGCAGAAGAAGCGACGGCUAAAUACGUGCCAGCAGCCGCGGUAAUACGUAUGUCGCGAGCGUUAUCCGGAAUUAUUGGGCAUAAAGGGCAUCUAGGCGGCCGGAUAAGUCUGGGGUGAAAACUUGCGGCUCAACCGCAAGCCUGCCCUGGAAACUAUGCGGCUAGAGUACUGGAGAGGUGGACGGAACUGCACGAGUAGAGGUGAAAUUCGUAGAUAUGUGCAGGAAUGCCGAUGAUGAAGAUAGUUCACUGGACGGUAACUGACGCUGAAGUGCGAAAGCUAGGGGAGCAAACAGG